This 148-nucleotide signal recognition particle RNA is filed under the name Pan paniscus (pygmy chimpanzee). Its description in RNAcentral is "Metazoan signal recognition particle RNA". It matches the Rfam family "Metazoan signal recognition particle RNA". From Rfam's summary of the family: The signal recognition particle (SRP) is a universally conserved ribonucleoprotein. RNAcentral also lists the same sequence under 1 other name. The record is from Rfam by way of RNAcentral. Lineage: Eukaryota; Metazoa; Chordata; Mammalia; Primates; Hominidae.
GCCAGGCGUGGUGGUGCACGCCUGUAAUCCCAGCUACUCGGGAGGCUGAGGCAGGGGAAUCGCUUGAGCCCAGGAGGCGGAGGUUGCAGUGAGCUGAGAUCAUGCCACUGCACUCCAGCCUGGGCAACAGAGUGAGACUCCGUCUCAA